CCUACGGGUGGCAGCAGUGAGGAAUAUUGGUCAAUGGGCGGAAGCCUGAACCAGCCAAGUAGCGUGCAGGAUGACGGCCCUACGGGUUGUAAACUUCUUUUAUCAGGGACGAAACAAAUGACGGUACCUGAUGAAUAAGCCACGGCUAACUACGUGCCAGCAGCCGCGGUAAUACGUAGGUGGCAAGCGUUAUCCGGAUUUACUGGGUGUAAAGGGCGUGUAGGGGGGCUUGCAAGUCAGAUGUGAAAUUCCAGGGCUCAACCCUGGAACUGCAUUUGAAACUGUAGGUCUUGAGUGCUGGAGAGGCAAUCGGAAUUCCGUGUGUAGCGGUGAAAUGCGUAGAUAUACGGAGGAACACCAGUGGCGAAGGCGGAUUGCUGGACAGUAACUGACGCUGAGGCGCGAAAGCGUGGGGAGCAAACAGGAUUAGAUACCCUUGUAGUC
Molecule: ribosomal RNA, 444 nt
Filed under: uncultured bacterium
Lineage: Bacteria
Description: partial 16S ribosomal RNA
Rfam family: Bacterial small subunit ribosomal RNA
Source: RNAcentral